RNAcentral lists this ribosomal RNA (547 nucleotides) under uncultured bacterium. RNAcentral's name for it is "bacterial SSU rRNA". It matches the Rfam family "Bacterial small subunit ribosomal RNA", at positions 356 to 896 of the family's 1533-position model. The record is from RNAcentral.
GGGGAAUAUUGCGCAAUGGGGGCAACCCUGACGCAGCCAUGCCGCGUGAAUGAAGAAGGCCUUCGGGUUGUAAAGUUCUUUCGGUAGCGAGGAAGGCAUUUAGUUUAAUAGACUAGGUGAUUGACGUUAACUACAGAAGAAGCACCGGCUAACUCCGUGCCAGCAGCCGCGGUAAUACGGAGGAUGCGAGCGUUAUCCGGAUUUAUUGGGUUUAAAGGGUGCGUAGGCGGCCUGUUAAGUCAGCGGUGAAAUCUAGGAGCUUAACUCCUAAAUUGCCAUUGAUACUGGCGGGCUUGAGUGUAGAUGAGGUAGGCGGAAUGCGUGGUGUAGCGGUGGAAUGCAUAGAUAUCACGCAGAACUCCGAUUGCGAAGGCAGCUUACUAAGGUACAACUGACGCUGAAGCACGAAAGCGUGGGUAUCAAACAGGAUUAGAUACCCUGGUAGUCCACGCCGUAAACGAUGAGCACUAGGUGUCGGGGUCGCAAGACUUCGGUGCCGCAGUUAACGCAUUAAGUGCUCCGCCUGGGGAGUACGCACGCAAGUGUA